AUUGAACGCUGGCGGCAGGCCUAACACAUGCAAGUCGAGCGGCUGCAGGGAGCUUGCUCCUGGAUUCAGCGGCGGACGGGUGAGUAAUGCCUAGGAAUCUGCCUGGUAGUGGGGGAUAACGUCCGGAAACGGGCGCUAAUACCGCAUACGUCCUGAGGGAGAAAGUGGGGGAUCUUCGGACCUCACGCUAUCAGAUGAGCCUAGGUCGGAUUGGCUAGUUGGUGGGGUAAAGUCCUACAAGGGCGACGUACCGUAAGUGGUCUGAGAGGAUGAUCAGUCACACUGGAACUGAGACACGGUACAGACUCCUACGGUAGGCCGCAGUGGGGAAUCUUGGACAAUGGGCGAAAGCCUGAUCCAGCCAUGCCGCGUGUGUGAAGAAGGUCUUCGGAUUGUAAAGCACUUUAAGUUGGGAGGAAGGGCAGUAAGUUAAUACCUUGCUGUUUUGACGUUACCAACAGAAUAAGCACCGGCUAACUUCGUG
RNAcentral lists this ribosomal RNA (484 nucleotides) under uncultured bacterium. RNAcentral's name for it is "partial 16S ribosomal RNA". It matches the Rfam family "Bacterial small subunit ribosomal RNA", at positions 30 to 507 of the family's 1533-position model. The record is from RNAcentral.